RNAcentral lists this ribosomal RNA (429 nucleotides) under uncultured bacterium. Its description in RNAcentral is "partial 16S ribosomal RNA". It matches the Rfam family "Bacterial small subunit ribosomal RNA", at positions 338 to 795 of the family's 1533-position model. The record is from RNAcentral.
CCUACGGGAGGCAGCAGUGGGGAAUUUUGGACAAUGGGCGAAAGCCUGAUCCAGCCAUUCCGCGUGCAGGAUGAAGGCCCUCGGGUUGUAAACUGCUUUUGUGAACAGCCCGGUACCGUAAGAAUAAGCACCGGCUAACUACGUGCCAGCAGCCGCGGUAAUACGUAGGGUGCAAGCGUUAAUCGGAAUUACUGGGCGUAAAGCGUGCGCAGGCGGUUAUGUAAGACAGAUGUGAAAUCCCCGGGCUCAACCUGGGAACUGCAUUUGUGACUGCAUAGCUAGAGUACGGUAGAGGGGGAUGGAAUUCCGCGUGUAGCAGUGAAAUGCGUAGAUAUGCGGAGGAACACCGAUGGCGAAGGCAAUCCCCUGGCCGUACUGACGCUCAUGCACGAAAGCGGGGGAGCAAACAGGAUUAGAUACCUUGUAGUC